AUUGAACGCUGGCGGCAGGCUUAACACAUGCAAGUCGAGCGGGGUGAUGGUGCUUGCACUAUCACUUAGCGGCGGACGGGUGAGUAAUGCUUAGGAAUCUGCCUAUUAGUGGGGGACAACAUCUCGAAAGGGAUGCUAAUACCGCAUACGUCCUACGGGAGAAGGCAGGGGAUCACUUGUGACCUUGCGCUAAUAGAUGAGCCUAAGUCGGAUUAACUAGUUGGUGGGGUAAAGGCCUACCAAGGCGACGAUCUGUAGCGGGUCUGAGAGGAUGAUCCGCCACACUGGGACUGAGACACGGCCCAGACUCCUACGGGAGGCAGCAGUGGGGAAUAUUGGACAAUGGGGGGAACCCUGAUCCAGCCAUGCCGCGUGUGUGAAGAAGGCCUUAUGGUUGUAAAGCACUUUAAGCGAGGAGGAGGCUCUUUUGGUUAAUACCCAAGAUGAGUGGACGUUACUCGCAGAAUAAGCACCGGCUAACUCUGUGCCAGCAGCCGCCGUAA
This 503-nucleotide ribosomal RNA is filed under the name uncultured bacterium. RNAcentral's name for it is "partial 16S ribosomal RNA". It matches the Rfam family "Bacterial small subunit ribosomal RNA", at positions 30 to 523 of the family's 1533-position model. The record is from RNAcentral.